Macadamia integrifolia is the source of this 548-nucleotide long non-coding RNA. RefSeq lists it as uncharacterized. Lineage: Eukaryota; Viridiplantae; Streptophyta; Magnoliopsida; Proteales; Proteaceae. The transcript is spliced from 3 exons. The record is from RefSeq and is a predicted model, not a curated record.
UAUUAAUCCACAUUCCACAGAAGAAGAAGAGAUGAGAAGCUGCAGAAGCGAGCUAUAUUUUGUGUUCAUGAACUUUGAUCCAGAAUAUGAUCGUCUUCGAUCCGAUAGAACAGAGCAAGGGGCUUAUGAGCUUGAUAUGUACCUAAGCAACAAGCAUGAUGAGCUGCUGGCGAUCAGGCUUGGGCCAGGAACAUAUAAGAAGCGAUUUUCUUUAGUCAUUGUGGAUGGGUUUGCAGUAGAGAUCACUGAUGACUAGGCAAACACGCUUAGAUCUGCAAAGGGAGUGAGGGUUGUAGAGAAGAACCAGGUGCUUUCAUAGUGUAAGAGCUAGAGAAGGUCCUCUGUUUUAGUAAGUGCAUUGGUGAAAUUAAUGUGAUAAUAUGGUUUCUUUUAAGCCUACGCCAUGUCUUAUGACUCUGCUUUACAUGGACGGUAGCAUGUGUUUAGAAUUCUCUCCCUCUCUUAUGCCAUGGGUGUGUUUAUGUACAGACAAGCUCAAUGGGCCUGUGAUCAUUGUUUUUAGAAUACAACAUAAGGGGGUUGGUCCA